GGGCCCGUAGCUCAAUGGCGGAGCAGGCGGCUCAUAACCGCUUGGUUGUUGGUUCGAAUCCAUCCGGGCCCA
RNAcentral lists this transfer RNA (72 nucleotides) under Anaerolineaceae bacterium. RNAcentral's name for it is "tRNA-Ile". It matches the Rfam family "tRNA". From Rfam's summary of the family: Transfer RNA (tRNA) molecules are approximately 80 nucleotides in length. The record is from RNAcentral. RNAcentral also lists the same sequence under 1 other name. Lineage: Bacteria; Bacillati; Chloroflexota; Anaerolineae; Anaerolineales; Anaerolineaceae.